RNAcentral lists this ribosomal RNA (397 nucleotides) under Mataza sp. Its description in RNAcentral is "partial small subunit ribosomal RNA". It matches the Rfam family "Eukaryotic small subunit ribosomal RNA", at positions 582 to 975 of the family's 1831-position model. Lineage: Eukaryota; Cercozoa; Thecofilosea. The record is from RNAcentral.
AUUCCAGCUCCAAUAGCAUAUAUUAAAGUUGUUGCAGUUAAAAAGCUCGUAGUUGGAUUUCUGGCAUGAUGCGCCUGGCCCGCCUCGAUUACGAGUGUGUGUGCGAGUGCGCGUCUGCCAUCCAUUUGCAGGACAUGUCUACCCUUCAUUGGGCCGGAUAUGUGAUGUAAAUCUUUUACUUUGAAAAAAUUAGAGUGUUUAAAGCAGGCAUUUGCUAUGAAUACAUUAGCAUGGAAUAAUAAUCUAGGACUUCGGUUCUAUUUUGUUGGUUUCUAGAUCUGGAGUAAUGAUUGAUAGGGAUAGUUGGGGGUGCUAGUAUUAAGGGGCCAGAGGUGAAAUUCUUGGAUUCUCUUAAGACUAACUUAUGCGAAAGCAUUCACCAAGGAUGUCUUCAUCG